Molecule: long non-coding RNA, 322 nt
Filed under: Vigna radiata
Lineage: Eukaryota; Viridiplantae; Streptophyta; Magnoliopsida; Fabales; Fabaceae
Description: long non-coding RNA (VRAD_LNC010156)
Source: RNAcentral
GGGUUGCAUGGGGGAAAUUGAAAAGCAAUUGUAAAGCAUUGAGCUCAAAGGUUGAGAAAGAAAAAUGCAUGUUAAAAAGAAAAGAAAAGAAUAAGAGCAUGAAGAUGGGGCUCAAUGCAAAAGGAAAAGGAAAAAAAAGUUGGGAAUGAGUGAGAUUGGUGAGAAAGAGAGUUGUGCUUAAAUGUUGAAUACUAUGAUAGCUCUCUUGACUCAAGGAUUUUGCAUUUCAGAAAAACCAAUACUUCUUGUUAGCCCAACCUCAUUACAAGCUUGGAAAAGUCCUUUUGAUGGCAUUUNCAUGUAAAGAUGUUGAUUGUUUGAG